AUGUUAUUAUAGAUAUUAUUUUUGUUUGUUUUGGUUGAUAAUUUUAUAUAAAUUAAUAUAUUGUUUUUGUAUAUGUUAUGGAUUAAAUUUUUUAAUUAUAGUUUAUUUUUACUGUAUGGGAUUUAUUUAUAUUUUUUAUAAGUAGAUAAAGUUGUAUUGUACCUUGUGUAUCAGGGUUUAUUAAAUUAUAUUAUUUAUUUUUAUUUCCCGAUUUUAAAAGAUUUAAGUAAUUAUUUUAGUUAUUGUUUUAUAAUUAUUAAUAAUAUUUACUUGGCAGUGAAAUGUUAUUCGAUUUUAAUGGUGUCUGGUUUUUCAAGAAAUGAAUUAAAUUCAUGUAUUAUUAAUUUAUAUUUCUAUUUUUAUUAGUAUAUAUUUUAUUGAUAUGAAUGUUAUGGGGGAUAAGCUCUUUAAUAUAGUGUUAUAAUUUUUUUAUUCUUAAUUUUUGUUGGUUUUAUAAUAACUAUCAAUUUGAGUUUGUUAAAAUUUUAUUUUAAUUGGGUUUUAUUUAUUUUUAUUUAACUAUUUUAUUGAAAUUUUUUAUUUAAUUAUUAUUUGUUUAUAAUUAUGAUAGAAUUAGUAAAUUUUUAUUUAUUUUUGUGUUUAUUUAUUAAAAUUUUAAAAGGAAUUAGGCAAAUCUAUUAUUCUCGCAUGUUUAUCAAAAACAUCUUUUCUUGUUUUAAUAUGAAGUAUAACCUGCCCAUUGAUUAGUUUAUUAAAAGGCCGCGGUAUUUUGACCGUGCAAAGGUAGCAUAAUCAUUAGUCUUUUAAUUGUGGACUGGAAUGAACGGUUGGACGAGGAAUAUACUGUUUCUUAUUUAUUUAUUUUGAAUUUAAUUUUUAAGUUAGAAAGCUUAAAUUUUUUUAUGGGACGAGAAGACCCUAUAGAGUUUAAUACUUUAAAUAUUUAAAGUAUUAGUUUGGUUUAAUUUUUUAGUAUUUAAUAUAUUUUGUUGGGGUGAUGGAAAGAAUUAAGUAACUCUUUUUAUUAUUAUACAUUUAUUUAUGAUAUAUUGAUCCAUUUUUGUUGAUUAUAAGAUUAAAUUACCUUAGGGAUAACAGCGUAAUCUUUUUUAAGAGUUCUUAUCAAUAAAAGGGUUUGCGACCUCGAUGUUGGAUUAAGAUUUAAUUUGGGUGUAGAAUUUCAAUAUGUUUAGGUCUGUUCGACCUUUAAAAUCUUACAUGAUCUGAGUUCAGACCGGCGUGAGCCAGGUUGGUUUCUAUCUAUAAUUUAUUUUAUAUCUUAGUACGAGAGGACCAGAUAUUUUAAAUAAUUUUUGUUUUUUGAAUAUUAUUAAAUUUUA
Molecule: ribosomal RNA, 1301 nt
Filed under: Hebardina formosana
Lineage: Eukaryota; Metazoa; Arthropoda; Insecta; Blattodea; Blattidae
Description: 16S ribosomal RNA
Rfam family: Archaeal large subunit ribosomal RNA (bases 1052-1212)
Source: RNAcentral